UUUAAGUGCUUUUACUGGAACAACCUGUGGAUAACUCCUUAAAUAUGGCUGACAUUUUAUAAUCUGGCACUUCAGGUACUUUUACCUUGUUAACUGUGAGUGACCCAUUUCCGACGAGACAUUUUUGAGAACUAGUUUACCGCUCCAGGAGACAACUCAACUUUGGGCUGGCGACCUUAUAUACCCUUAAAUAUGGAGCAGAUUCCCGGUUUCUCUUCGGGUAAAUCACUAGUCCUGAUCGUCUGCUUCAUCCACCUCUCUUUGUGGUGAAAGAUGACAUGGAAAUCCACCAGAGAGGAGAGCGAUGCUGCCUCUGCAAGCUUUGAGGCCUCAUCUACCAGCCACAUAGCUUUUUGUCAGACACCCUGGUCCUCCCAUGCAAAGGCUGCUGCCCCACCCAAAGGAAUGUUAUAUUCCAAAUCAUAAACUAAUUUAUAAAUCAGGCAAUGUGUUACUUAAUGUGUAACCAUUUGAACAAGGUAACUGGGGCAACAGUCUUUGUAGGGACUGAGUCAGGUUUCCCAUUAUCUAUUUUUUAUCUUUCCCCCAAACACAGACACAUCUCAUAUCCUCAUCAUUUCACUUGUGUUGGUCAAAAGUUCAAAGGUGUCUUUGUUUUUGAUAAAGUCUGCUAAAUAAAGGCACUGAAUGUUGUUCAAAAUAA
Long non-coding RNA from Notolabrus celidotus (New Zealand spotty), 664 nucleotides. RefSeq lists it as uncharacterized. NCBI's taxonomy places the organism in Eukaryota, Metazoa, Chordata, Actinopteri, Labriformes, Labridae. The record is from RefSeq and is a predicted model, not a curated record. The transcript is spliced from 2 exons.